GAUAAACAGACGGUGGAUAAACAGGCGAUGGAUAAACAGACGGUGGAUAAACAAACGGUAAAUAAAAAUGUAAUAAACGAUGAAAAAAACAUAUUAAAUAAUGUCAAAGAUACAUAUACUAAUAUAAAUAAAAAUAUAUGCGAAACUAUGUUACAAAUAACAGAUAAAACAAAUUCUUUUCAAGUACCUAUGGAACAUAUUAAUGAUAACAUAGGGGGAAUAACUGAACAGAACAAAAACCAAGUUGAUCAAUAUCAUAUUUGUACAGAAAAUAAAACAAAUUUAUAUAAUAUCCAAAUAGAUACAGUUGAUAAAAGAAGGAAACUGUUUGAUGAGGAGAUUAUAAGUGACUAUCCAAGUGAUGUCAACAAAAAUGGAAAAGGUAACAACAAAAAUAAAAAAACCAAAAAUUUAAAUAACACUGGUGAAACGAAAAAUAUUAUGUUGGAAAUUAUUGGAACGCUAAACGAAGAACAUGAAAAAAAAAAAAAGAUAUUUAGAAUAUAAGAAAGCCAAAAUUGAAGGAAAAAUAAAAAGAUUUAGCUCAGAACAAAACAAAACAAACCAUGUUAAAAAAGAAAAAUUGUUAGCAGAUAUAUCGGAAAUAGAACAUAUAAAACUUGACAACGCCAUGGAUAAAAAAAUGCAUAUGAAUAACUUGCACAAUCAUAUAAAUUUGGGAAGUAGCAAUUUGGGAAGUAGCAACUUGAAUAAAACAUUUUCCGAUAACCAAAGUUUAAUAAAGAAUUAUAAUUUGUAUGAAAACAUGAAUAACAGUAGAACCCCUAUAAUAACAAAACCACCAACAUUGUAUAAUAGAACUUCUGAAAAUAACAACUUAGGUUCGAAUAUUAAAAAUAAAAACAUUCAUGGAUUUAUUUCUAGGCCAUAUGUUAAAAAUGGUAAUACUAAUAACAACAAUAGCGACAAUGUACAAUAUUUACAUAAAAAUGAACCAAAUUCAAAAUGGAAUUUGCCGAUUCAAAAUAUGUCAACUACAAUGACUUCUAAUAGGAGUUCCAAUGUAGGACCCUCUAAUAAAAAUUUUGUUACAGAAAAACAUGCGUAUCCCCAAAAAUAUAACACCCAUGAUGGUACUAAUAAUUUUAAUUAUUCUCAUAUAUCUGAAGCAAUAAAUAUGUUGAGUAAUUUAAAAAAUGUAAAUAACAAUGCUAAUAAUAAUGACAAUUUUGGUUAUACAAAAAAUGUAAAUAAUUAUUCCAAUCCAUUAAAUGCUGAUUUAAAUCCAUUAACUACGAACUUAAAUCCAUUAACUACGAAUAUUGAUUCUAAGGAUUGUAUUUAUGAUAACGUUGUGCGUGAUAACAUGCAUAUAAAUAUAAAAAAUUAUAAUGUAACAGCAAAUGAACAACUGAUAAAUAACAACCAAUCAAUUAAAAUACUAAAUGAAAGUUUUAACAAAAUUAAAAAUUAUUCAAAUAAAAUAAAUCCUGAUGUUUAUCCAACCCAUUCCAAUAUCCAUAAUGGUUAUUCAGAUAUACCUAAACCUGAUAGUAAUAAUAAUAAUAAUAAUAUGUUUGAUUUUAUUUUUAAAAAAGAUGGGUAUAAUAAUAAUAAUAAUAAAAGUUAUAUCCAUAACAAUAAUAAUGAUAACAUUGAAGUAAAUACAUUUACUGAUACAGAUGGUUUAUAUAUGAAUACAAAUACAUAUAAUAACGAAUCAUUACCACACAGAUAUAACAAUCCAAAACAAAUGCAAAAAGUAAAUGAUAAUACCUUAGUUAAAGAUCCUUUUGAAUUUUAUAACAAUUAUAAUAAUGAACAGAAGGAGAAGGAGGAGGAAGAAGAAAUAAACGAUAAAAAUGUCAAAAUAAACCGAAUGCAAGGAAAAGAAAACAUAAUUACUAACUAUGAAGAACAUAAAGAUGUACUUAUUAAUGAUAAAACGAAUAUAAAUCAAAAUAUAACAGUUGAUAAAAAAAGAGGAUAUAUUACGAACUUUUUACACAAGACAUUUAACAAAUUCGUACCAAAUACGAACACAUAUGACGAGGUAAUUACAGCAAAAAAUGGAGCACAGACUGGAGAAGGUACAAUUAACAAAACACCUGAUGGAAAUAACCUUUUAAAUAAUAACAAAACAAAUAUAAAUGACUUAUUAAAUAACAUUUUCGAAAAAUAUAAACAGUUUGAGCAGAUUAAAGAAAAUCAUAAGGAAAACAUAACAUAUACAUAUCCCCCACCAAGCAUAUACAAAGACAACGAAAUUACUAAAAAUGAUUUAAUAAUAAAAUUUAAUUGUUAUAAAUAUGAAAAUAUAUCUUUGUAUUUAAAUUAUAAGACUACUACGAGUCCUAAUUUAAUGGAAACAAAAACCAAAACUAAUAAAUUUCCUAUUUUACCAUUACAAGGCUUACUUACAUCAGAAAAUUUAAAACAACUUAAUUUACCUCCAAUACCAAUUCUACCUAAUCUUUUACCUACACAAAACAUUAUACCAUCAGUUCUAUUACCAUUUAAUAACAUAUUAGAAUCGUCAAUAAACAAUAAUAAUAAUAAAACUACUAUUAAUAUACAACAAAAUAAUAGUAAUGAAAACAAAUAUGUGCAUAUCUAUAAUAAAAAAAACUUAUAUACUUCCUUUGAUGAGUUUGUAAAUAUUUUCGAUGAUGAUAUAAAACAAGUUUUGUUAAAAAAUAGAGAUCUGGCUCAUUUGUUAAUGAAUAAACCGGAUGUUGUACAGAAAAUGUUAAAAGGAGCGCAAUACGUUGACGUAAGUUUUUUUUUUUUUAACAUUUAUACUUUUUUGCAUGACAAUGGUUAUUUCUCUAUCUAUAUAAUAUUAUAAGCGUUAACAACAUAUAUAUAUAUAUAUAUAUUAUACAUUUUUGCUGCACUUUUUUUUUUUUUUUUUUUUUUAGGAAGCAUUAUGCUCUUUACAAGAAGAAUUAAAAAGUUGGAACAAAUCAAACUUAAUUUCUUAACACAGAACGAGACGAAUUGUUGUCGUCGUCCUUUUUCGUUAUUUUAUUUUCCACCUUUUAUUUUUCAUUUUUCAUUUUCCACUUUUUAUUUCCCAUUUCAUAUUUCAUUUUAUUUUUUAAAUAUAGCUAUGCAUAUAUUUUGUUUAAGUUAACUUUGUCAUUUAUUAAUUACUUUUUAUUUUUUAUGCGUACAUUGUUAACAAUUUUUGCAAACAAAUUUUUUAAUUUUUAUUAUUAUAAUAAUUAUUAUUACGAUUUUGUAGUUGCCCCUUUUUUUUUUUUUUUUUUUUUUUUUUUUUUUUUUUUUGUUUUUUGUAAUAUAAAAAAAAAAAAAUACAGUAAAAAAAUAAUUUUUUUUUUUAUAAUUUUUGUGCAUUCGAGUUUUAUUCGAGUUUUAUUCGACGUUUAUUCAUUUUCUUUUAGAAGUUGUUAAAUUCAAAUUUAUGUAUACAUAUUUGUUGUUUUACUUUUUCAUUGUAUAUCUUCAUGUUCCCCCGAGCUUUCUCCCACAUACUAACCUCCAUUAUCG
RNAcentral lists this long non-coding RNA (3474 nucleotides) under Piliocolobus tephrosceles (Ugandan red Colobus). RNAcentral's name for it is "lncRNA (ENSPTEG00000015886.1)". Lineage: Eukaryota; Metazoa; Chordata; Mammalia; Primates; Cercopithecidae. The record is from RNAcentral.